UCGUAAGUACCGCAGUGCGC
This 20-nucleotide small RNA is filed under the name Bombyx mori (domestic silkworm). RNAcentral describes it as "ovarian small RNA-29091". Lineage: Eukaryota; Metazoa; Arthropoda; Insecta; Lepidoptera; Bombycidae. The record is from RNAcentral.